This 323-nucleotide ribosomal RNA is filed under the name Bdellovibrionales bacterium. RNAcentral describes it as "bacterial SSU rRNA". It matches the Rfam family "Bacterial small subunit ribosomal RNA", at positions 1 to 321 of the family's 1533-position model. Lineage: Bacteria; Pseudomonadati; Bdellovibrionota; Bdellovibrionia; Bdellovibrionales. The record is from RNAcentral.
GAACUCGAGAGUUUGAUUCUGGCUCAGAAUGAACGCUGGCGGCGUGCCUCAGACAUGCAAGUCGUACGAGAAAGUUCCUUCGGGAACGAGUAGAGUGGCGCACGGGUGAGUAAUACUUAGGUAACGUACCCUUUUGCUGGGGAUAACCAGGGGAAACCCUGGCUAAUACCGAAUACUUCCAUCAUUAGCUUCGGCGAAGAUGGACAAAGCCGUAAGGCGCGAAAGGAGUGGCUUAAGUCCCAUUAGCUUGUUGGUGGGGUAAUGGCCUACCAAGACUAUGACGGCUAGCCGAUGUGAGAGCAUGAUCGGCCACAAGGCUACUG